Molecule: ribosomal RNA, 484 nt
Filed under: uncultured bacterium
Lineage: Bacteria
Description: partial 16S ribosomal RNA
Rfam family: Bacterial small subunit ribosomal RNA
Source: RNAcentral
GACGAACGCUGGCGGCGUGCUUAACACAUGCAAGUCGAACGAUGAAGCCGGAGCUUGCUCUGGUGAAUUAGUGGCGAACGGGUGAGUAACACGUGAGUAACCUGCCCUUGACUCUGGGAUAACUGCGGGAAACUGUAGCUAAUACCGGAUACGACCCUCGGAGGCAUCUCCUGGGGGUGGAAAGAAUUUCGGUCAAGGAUGGACUCGCGGCCGAUCAGCUAGUUGGUGGGGUAAAGGCUUACCAAGGCGACGACGGGUAGCCGGCCUGAGAGGGUGACCGGCCACACUGGGACUGAGACACGGCCCAGACUCCUACGGGAGGCAGCAGUGGGGAAUAUUGCACAAUGGGCGCAAGCCUGAUGCAGCAACGCCGCGUGAGGGAUGACGGCCUUCGGGUUGUAAACCUCUUUUAGCAGGGAAGAAGCGAAAGUGACGGUACCUGCAGAAAAAGCACCGGCUAACUACGUGCCAGCAGCCGCCGUAA